RNAcentral lists this transfer RNA (72 nucleotides) under Verrucomicrobiales bacterium. RNAcentral's name for it is "tRNA-Thr". It matches the Rfam family "tRNA". From Rfam's summary of the family: Transfer RNA (tRNA) molecules are approximately 80 nucleotides in length. Their secondary structure includes four short double-helical elements and three loops (D, anti-codon, and T loops). Further hydrogen bonds mediate the characteristic L-shaped molecular structure. tRNAs have two regions of fundamental functional importance: the anti-codon, which is responsible for specific mRNA codon recognition, and the 3' end, to which the tRNAs corresponding amino acid is attached (by aminoacyl-tRNA synthetases). tRNAs cope with the degeneracy of the genetic code in two manners: having more than one tRNA (with a specific anti-codon) for a particular amino acid; and 'wobble' base-pairing, i.e. permitting non-standard base-pairing at the 3rd anti-codon position. The record is from RNAcentral. Lineage: Bacteria; Pseudomonadati; Verrucomicrobiota; Verrucomicrobiia; Verrucomicrobiales.
GCCUCUGUAGUGUAAUAGGCAGCAUGUCGCUCUUGUAAAGCGGUGGUCUGGGUGCAAAUCCUGGCAGGGGCU